This 301-nucleotide ribosomal RNA is filed under the name uncultured bacterium. RNAcentral describes it as "partial 16S ribosomal RNA". It matches the Rfam family "Bacterial small subunit ribosomal RNA", at positions 509 to 807 of the family's 1533-position model. The record is from RNAcentral.
CAGCCGCCGCGGGAAUACGAAGGGGGCUAGCGUUGUUCGGAAUUACUGGGCGUAAAGCGCACGUAGGCGGACUUUUAAGUCAGGGGUGAAAUCCCGGGGCUCAACCUCGGAACUGCCUUUGAUACUGGAAGUCUUGAGUGUGGAAGAGGUAAGUGGAAUUGCGAGUGUAGAGGUGAAAUUCGUAGAUAUUCGCAGGAACACCAGUGGCGAAGGCGGCUUACUGGUCCACAACUGACGCUGAGGCGCGAAAGCGUGGGGAGCAAACAGGAUUAGAUACCCGCGUAGUCCCUGUCUCUUAUAC